GCGCCGAUAGUGUAAUGGCGUAGAGCAUUCCCGCUCGCUCAGCAGGAGGUGCGGGUUUGAGUCCCGCCUGGCGCU
Heligmosomoides polygyrus is the source of this 75-nucleotide non-coding RNA. The record is from Rfam. Lineage: Eukaryota; Metazoa; Nematoda; Chromadorea; Rhabditida; Heligmosomidae.